CUGACGCGUCUUGAUUUUAAGGUUUGGUGCGGUGGAUCCAGAUGGCCUCCAUCAAUUUCCUCUUCCGCCAAUUGCUGAUGUUGACGGCCAAAAUGUC
This is a long non-coding RNA of Haliotis rubra (blacklip abalone), 97 nucleotides long. RefSeq lists it as uncharacterized. The record is from RefSeq and is a predicted model, not a curated record. The transcript has 4 exons. NCBI's taxonomy places the organism in Eukaryota, Metazoa, Mollusca, Gastropoda, Lepetellida, Haliotidae.